CCUACGGGAGGCAGCAGUGAGGAAUAUUGGUCAAUGGGCGGAAGCCUGAACCAUCGACGUCGCGUGAGUGAAGAAGUAUCUAGGGAUUGUAAGCUUCUUUUAUAGGGGAAUAAAGUUCUGCACGUGUCGAUAUUUGCAUGUACCCUAUGAAUAAUGCUCGGCUAAAUCCGUGCCAGCCGCCGCGGUAAUCCGGAGGAUGCGAGCGUUAUCCGGAUUUAUUGGGUGUAACGGGAUCGUAGGUGGUUCUUUAAGUCAGCGGUGAAAGGUUGGGGCUCAACCCUAAAAGUGCAGUUGAAACUGGAAGACUUGAGUACAGUAGAGGUAGGCGGAAUGCGUGGUGUAGCGGUGAAAUGCAUAGAUAUCACGCAGAACUCCGAUUGCGAAGGCAGCUUACUGGACUAUAACUGACGCUGAGGCACGAAAGCGUGGGGAUCAAACAGGAUUAGAUACCCGUGUAGUC
RNAcentral lists this ribosomal RNA (460 nucleotides) under uncultured bacterium. RNAcentral describes it as "partial 16S ribosomal RNA". It matches the Rfam family "Bacterial small subunit ribosomal RNA", at positions 338 to 795 of the family's 1533-position model. The record is from RNAcentral.